CGAUGCCGUAUCCUGCCGCCCGUUUUACCCGCGGGAAAGCCGAGGCCCGGUGCUGUAUUCUGCCGCCCAUUUUACCCGCGGGGAAGCUGAGGCCCAGUGCUGUUUAAUAUCUUACUCAUGUUCACUUGAUGAGAAAGUGACAGAUCUGAGACAAACCCAGGUCUAGAGGUUAUGACACCAGCCAUGGAAGAGCAGAGAGGCCAAUGAGGUGGGGAGGUUGGAAACAAAAGGCCUUCUCCACCCCAGCUUGACCAACCCAAAAGCUGGAAGGCAAGGAAGACCUAGGGACUGGACAACAGUGUGUCAUAGGCCUGGAAUCUGAGGAAAGGGGGAGAAAUGCAAAAAGGUGCAAAAAAGGUGCAAAAAGGGCCACUAGACUUGACCAGCCUCACCGUUUUCACAGAAACUAGACUGAACAAAAAGAAAGUGCUCACUGGCCUGAUAGAAGACACGCACUGUUAUCAUCAAUAAGAAUGGACUUAUGUAUUGCUAAUGUUUACUAUGCAAUUAACAAUUUCCGUUGACUGUGUGAAGCAUCUUAAGUGCAUUUUAAAUUUGCUCCUCCCAAAAGGCAACUUGACCUCUGGGGAGAGGAGAAGAAAAAGGAACUAGCAGCAUUGAUUGCCUAUGUUUCCUGAAGUGUGGUGUCAUGGCAUAAAAUGACAUUGAAUCACAGGGUAGGACACUCACUCAGCUCAAAAAUCAAUGUAAAUCAAAAGGUCGACAGAAAAGAAAUGAGUCAACGAUGGUGCAGGUGAUCUGUGCAGUGCUGUGCAGGGGAUGGGUCAAAGCUGUGAUGCUGGCAUGCAACUAACUCACCAUUGAAGGGACCAGCUUGACGAAGCUUCUGCUUUUGUGACUGUCUCCUAAUGGAGAAACCAGAGCACCUCAGAAGAUCAAGGCUUCCAAAUUCUCCUGGGGGAACAGACGUCAGCCAUUCAGCACAAAGGAAACUUCCUUCUCUGUAUGUCAGAGGAAGACAUAAUUGUGCCAUUUCCUUCUUGAAGAAGUUUACAAACAUUUGCAAGUUGUCAAAAAUAAUUAGUCUAAAAUUGUUUCAUAAACCGUGGAAUGAAACAGGACGUGCCUUGUUGAGAUCAAAGGGCUUCUGUUACCUUCUUGUAAACUCAAAUGAAAUUCUUUUGAAAGUAAACCAGAAUUUAAGAGACACCAGAGGAUGGCACAUUUAUACUGAGCUUGCAGUUUCCUAAACAUGAAGAAGAUGAACGGCUCUCAGUUAAGCAGCACGGGUCAGAUAGGAGCUUGAAAUUGAAUAUUUGAGCUGACACGGGAGAGACAUACUGUUGAGAUUCCAAAUACGAUUUCUGUGGAGAAAACAAAAAAGGACUCUGUUUUUAAUUCAAAAGGGAGAAGUGAAAUUCUACCUCACUUUUUUAAAAGAAGAGCCUGGAAUUGGCCUAUCCGUCUUUUUCCCCGUUGGAUCACAGAGCAGAAAGGAAGGUGGGCGUUUGUGUUCUGGGUGUUGUCCACGCUGGACGUGCCAGCAUCUCCCACUGAGCCAGAUGUUCCAGGGCUAAGGCCAGUUUCAUUUGAAGGCACAGCCUUACUAUAUCAUGUUAAUCUGAUGCCAAGUUUUUGGAUGUUAUGAGCAACCACCUCAUUUAUUUUUUGUGGUUGUUUAACCACAAUGAGUAAGGAACGAGGACACUGGGGAGGCCCUUCCAAUGCAGGGAUGCUCCCAGGCUCUCCCGCAGUUUAAAGACUUAACUCAGCGGCUUUCAGGGCCUGUGGUUGAGGGACUCCGAAAGAACUGUUGCUGGUGGACCGGUUCAGGGUCUUGACUUCGCCACACAAAAGAACUUGAGAGCACGUCCAAAGUAAAGGUAAGACCUCUAGUACAGUGUUCAAUGGAACUGGUGAGAAAAGACGUCCUUGCUGUGUUCCUGAUAUGAAGAGGAAAGCAGUCCUUCUCCAUUAAGUAAAGUGCUGACAACAUGAGCCUCCCGUGGUCGGAACGGGCUUGUGAAGGCGGUGCUGGGGUGCACCAGGGCAGCAGCUACAGGUUACAGGAUCUUCUUUCUAACAUGCCGUGAGGGCCCAGAGACUGUGUCACUGUUGUGAUGAUAGAGUGCAGGGCCCUUCAAAGGGAGGUCUGUGGGCCAGCAGCACCCAAGGGCUCUCCUCCCAAGCACCCAACGAGCAAGAUGGGUCUGAGGAUACCUGUGAGAAGUAAUUCAACACAUCUUUCACACAUGGGCCAAUUUGCUGGUCUAAGUUAAAUUGGAGUGACAAGGACAGCUGCUUAAAGAGGACGAGGUUUCACCGUGUUAGACAGGAUGGUUUCGAUCUCCUGACCUCGUGAUCUGCGUGCCUCGACCUCCCAAAGUGCUGGGAUUACAGGCUUGAGCCGCCACGUCCGGCCUCAGACCAUUUUUCUAGAGAUGGAAGCUACAGAUGACAGAGCCGAGGUCGUCUCCUCCAGGUCCCAGAGCUGCUAUGUGGCUGAGCUGCAGUUCAGAGCCAGGGUGACUCAGCUUGCAAGCCUGUGCUCCUCACCUCCGUGGCAUGCUUCUCCCAGGCUGGCACUGAAUCACCGGAAGGACUCCUUAAGACAUGGAUAGGGGAUCCACCCCAGAGGUCCUGAAUCAGCAAGUCUGGGGAGGAGACUGAGAAUUGACUUUUCUAUCAAGUUCCCCAGUGAUGCUGAUGCUGCUGGUGUGCGUACCACGUUCUGGAACCUCCGCUCCCUGCUCUAGGGCCUUCUGGGUGGAGCCCUAGAGCUGAGCUCCCAGCUGUGGGCAUGGCAGGCACUGAAGAGUGUUGCUUUAGGGUAAUGUGUUAACAGUCUAAGAAGGUGCGUGGUGAGUAGGCUGACCAUUUCUCUCUCUUAUUGAACAAAAUAUUGCUAAGCCCUGGAUUUUCUCAGCUGUAAAUCACUGAAAUCUGAAUAAAAUUACAACUCAAAUCCCAGGAACACAGGAUUGCAGUGACCUACAUAAUUUGGGCUCAAAUACCUUCAAGGCAUUCCGAAGAGACAGAGAACACCAGAACAAGGGAGAAUUGGAGUGGAGGUGGAUGCUGAAAUUCCAGUAUAAAAAUCUACUCUGGCUGAGGAAUAAGACAAAAUGAGAAAUGCAAUAUAGUCGCUACUCAGGAAUUUUGACUGAGGUUGGACAUUGUUUAGAAAUGGGAACAAGUUUGAAGGAUAGGAUGGAGGGAAGGAAAAUAUUUUUUAUUGUCAAGCCUGAGACACCUGAAGCCCUGGACUUGGAAUCUGAAGCUGUCAUCAGCCAGUACACCUAUGAACCUGUGGAAGACCUGAAGUACCUGUUUAAAAGACAGCCAAAAGAUAAGUAAAUACUUCCCAAAUUUCCCCCUGCUGAAAGGGUUGACAAUGAAGACUCUCAGGCCACCGUAACUCAUGGAGAAGCCCUGAGCAUCUGGCCCGCUUGAUGCACCAGCUGGAGUCGACAUUAAAGGGCCCCAUUUCCCAUUUGCUGCAGAAGAUGUUUAAUUGGAAGUCUCUCCCUGUCCUUUUGCCCUCUGGUGCUGGGCACCAAUGAGAAGCUCAUCUGGCCCCGGGAUCCUGGCAGGACACUGGGAGCACUAUUUCCAUGGGCAGCAGGGUUGUUCCUGGAGACAUCACUGACCCAGGACACCUAGCACAAUGGCACUCGAUGUGAAAGUGGCUUCGUACAAAUCUGCCACUCAAGCCUAAAUAAGUGCAUUCCAGAAGAGCCGCAGCCCCUCUAACAGCUCCUGAGGUGAGGGAAACCCUAGGGAUGGGAAGUUGGAGCAGAAAGAGAUGGUGGCCUGAAGUCAACUGCAGUGAAAAUCUCUCCCCAUCAGCAAGUUUUGCAAAGCUAUGGCCACAGGGACACAUGACUGGGGCCCCUCCUAGUCUUGGAAGGAGCCCCCAUGGAAAUGAGGGCCUCACAGUGAAUCCACCUCUGAUCCUACUUCACCUGCAGUCAAAUGAGAAGAGAUUUCAAUCAGCUAAAGACACCCUAUCCCCUCUCCCCGACCCCUGCGACCCCAGGAGCUCCUGCCUUGUCACUGUGUCCCCAAACGAACCGCAUCUGAAUCAAGCCCCUUUCUCUCCCUAGUGGUCAACAUCUGGGCUGUGAUGGGCAGCUCCCACUCUUGCCUUAGAAUAUGACUGGAGAGGUGACUUCUCAUCACAUGGAGAAUAUGUUCACCCCAUGGUGCUUUCCACCCAAGCUGACCAUGGCUUGACUUUUUGGUGUAGUUGCUAGCUCUGUGCCAUCCUUGGCAAUGUGACCCUGGAGCAGCUGUCCCCAGUGUGCAUUUGGGGGAUUUCAUGUAAUUAUGAAUAGGAUGCAAAUUUUAUAGCCCCAGUGAAGGGAAACACCCCUGGCGAGGCUUCCCGGGGCCAGAGAGAGGACUCCACUGAGGGAGAUGGUGGCAGGGCCAUUCUUUGUGUCCUGCUUUUUUUUUUUUUUUUUUUUUUAACAUCCUCUUUAUGUCCUGAGAGCCAUGUGCAGAUGAGGAAAAAUGACAUGCAAUGCAUUUUUGCCUGCCACAAUGACUUUGCAAUCAUAACAAGCAAAAUGUUCUAAACAGUAAGUGAAUCGAGGAAGAUAUACUGCCAAGUCAGGAAGAAAAAAUCCACCUGUUCAGUGAUUUCAGGAACUGCUGAAGAAAAUCACCAGUGAGUAUCAGUUUCUGCAAGAGAAUCUAAUGCAGGCUUUGCUUCUCAUCGGAAUCCCCCAGCUGGUGUCUUGGUUGACUGAGAGUCUGGGGGAGAGGGCAGAGAAUGGAUUUAUUCUCUGCUAGGUUUUUAACAGUCAAGAAGGGCUGUGGUCCUAAGGGGCACUGGUCAAACCUUAGUGUGCAUCAGAAUUAUCUGGAUAAGGCUAGGCACAGUGGCUCACGCCUGUAAUCACAGCACUUUGGGAGGCUGAGGCGCGUGGAUCACCUGAGGUCAGAAGUUCAAGACCAGCCUGGCUCUUUUAGUAGAGAAACCCUAUGUCUAUUAAAAAGUACAAAAUUUAGCCAGGUGUGGUGGUGAGUGCCUGUAAUCCCAGCUACUUGGGAGGCUGAGGCAGGACAGUCACUUGAAUCUAGGAGGCAGAGGUUGCAGUGAACUGAGAUCGUGCCAUUGUGCUCCAGCCUGGGCAACAAGAGUGAAACUCUAUCUCAGUAAAUUCUGCUAUGUCUCCUCCAGCCCUGACCAAACUUCAAAUAUGAGGAAAAUAAACAUUGUCAUAUAUCAACCGGCCAGUUCCCAGCAAUUCCUGCCUGCGUGCCCAUGCAAGGGGAGGUCUGGUGCUGCCUCCUGUAGUAACUACCUGUGGAGCCAGCUGAACUCAUUUUCCCCUGAACUUCAGAAAGUGCCAGAAUCACCCCAGAGCACUUGAGUACUUGCCCUGUGAAGACAGCAAGGAAAUGGGAGAGGAUUUGAAGGAUUUGCUUAAGAGCGGCUUUGAAGUCCUCCAACAGGGUGAGAGAGCCAGCUCAGCACAGACCCAGCCUAGAGAAGGAGCAUUUUUCUAGUGGGCUCAUCUUUAAUUUGCAACUAUGGCACAAAGGAAGGAGCAGCUGUGGAGACCAGGGCAUUGGUGAAAUGAAAGCAUAUUGUUUCCCUCCAUCUUCCCCACCCUGGGGAGGCCAGGGUUUCUCCAAGGCAGACACUCUCUAAGUGAAAUCUAUGGAAUUUUGGAAACAAGAUAAAAGACAUACUCGACUGCAAUGCACAUACUCACCGUGGAGCCCGGCACGCAGGGUAAAGACUCGCUGGGUUUGCAUUGCACAUUCUCACUGAGGAGCCCGGCACGCAGGGUUCAGACUCGCUGGUUUUGGGUUGGUGGACUUCAUUUUCUUUCACGCUGCUGCUUGCCCAGUGGGUGUAGACGAUGACAGAAGAGACAUCCAGGAGUAGAUUUCAAUGCACAGCAGCAGCUGAGAGAAGCCAGCUGUGAAAAAG
Molecule: long non-coding RNA, 5908 nt
Filed under: Homo sapiens (human)
Lineage: Eukaryota; Metazoa; Chordata; Mammalia; Primates; Hominidae
Description: long non-coding RNA NONHSAT189084.1
Source: RNAcentral